This is a long non-coding RNA of Astatotilapia calliptera (eastern happy), 1101 nucleotides long. The record is from Ensembl. Lineage: Eukaryota; Metazoa; Chordata; Actinopteri; Cichliformes; Cichlidae.
AAAGCUGUCAAAUUACUUCUUCUUCCUCUCAGCUCCAACAAUAGCUGUGCUCUGGUGCUCAAACAAAUAGUACUGCACCUCUGAUUGUGUCUCCAUGUCACCUGCUAUGGAAUAAAUGGAAGUGGGAACAGGUGCGCUGGAGAGGCAACAGAAAGACAACCCCCACAAUGGGUGAAGGAUACAGUCCAUUUCUCUCUCCUCAUCUUUCCUGACUGACUUUUCUCUAGUUUUAGGGUCCUCGUCACUACACUAGGGCAUGCUCCUGCAACACAGCAGUAAAUGCAUUUGAAAUGAGCCAUUCUCACAAUGUGUGCUUCCCACUGGGCCGACAACUGUAGAUAAUAGUGUUUUUCCAUGGCCUGAUGGAGCGUGUUUGUUACGUUUUGGUGUUGUCGGUGUGUUGCUUUUGGCGUGACUGUUAUGUGUUUCCUGUUUUACUUUGAAAGUCUGUGUUAUCUUAGUGUUUUCAGUUUACGUUUCCCUGUCUCGUCAGGUCUAAUUUGCCCCAGCUGUGUUUCCCUCCUGUGGUCCAUUCCCUGAUUGCCCCUUCUAUGUAUUUAAGCCUUGUGUUUCAGUGUGUCAUGGUCGCGAUCUUCCCCCCCGUUGUAAAUAGUUGGGUGUUUUGUUGUCAAGAAAUAGUUUGUUGUAUAUAGCUGUAAAUAGAUUUGUCGAUACUUUCGUUUUGGGAUUUUGGUGGUGAGCUUUAGUGGGGGUUUUUUUGUGUGUUUUUCUUUCUUUAUUUUUACUUUUUUCGUGUUGCACUCCGGUUGCCUAGGCCGGGGUGUAACAGUGUUCUUAACCUGUGUGACGUCAUCUAGCUCAUCCUGUUAAAAGGAAUAUAUCAAUUUAAGAAAAGCGCAUACAUGCCUGCCUAAAAAAGUAGAAAAUUAUAGCAUUUACAGUUUUCAUUUUAUUUUUUGCACCCCUGGUCCUCUCCAUUUCUCUCAUUCCUUCUGCAAGUCUCUCCAUUCCCUCAGCCUUUGCCCAGAAACCCACCAUCAAAGUACUUGUUUAUAGUUUAGGCCAAGUUAAAAAAAAAGAAGAAGAAGAAAAGUAGCAGUUCUCCAUCACGCUGGUUACUUCAGGGGUCUCAAGACUGAC